AUCAGCUUUGUUACAAGACUGUGCUAACAAGUUUGUUACAGCCAUGAUAUAACAAGGAUGUUACAAGGUUGUCAACAGAAGGUUGUAACAAUCUUGUUAUAUCAAGCAUGUAACGGACUUGUCAGAACAACCUUGCAACAAGUCUGAU
Molecule: non-coding RNA, 148 nt
Organism: Paramuricea clavata
Lineage: Eukaryota; Metazoa; Cnidaria; Anthozoa; Malacalcyonacea; Plexauridae
Source: the annotation of a GenBank genome assembly